GAUGAACGCUAGCGAUAGGCUUAACACAUGCAAGUCGAGGGACCGGCGCACGGGUGCGUAACGCGUAUGCAACUUGCCUCACAGAGGGGGAUAACCCGUCGAAAGACGGACUAAUACCGCGUACUGUGAGAUAGGCAUGCGUCCCAUUAGCUAGUUGGUGAGGUAACGGCUCACCAAGGCAACGAUGGGUAGGGGAACUGAGAGGGGGAACCCCCAAACUGGUACUGAGACCCGGACCAGACUCCGACGGGAGGCAGCAUGGAGGAAUAGUGGUCAAGGGGGGAGAGCCUGAACCAGCCAAGUCGCGGGAAGGAGGACUGGCUAUGGAUUGUAAACUUCUUUGGUAGGGGAAUAUGUACCCUACGAAUAAGCAUCGGCUAACUCCGUGCCAGCAGCCGCGGUAAUAC
Molecule: ribosomal RNA, 407 nt
Filed under: uncultured bacterium
Lineage: Bacteria
Description: partial 16S ribosomal RNA
Rfam family: Bacterial small subunit ribosomal RNA
Source: RNAcentral